Molecule: ribosomal RNA, 247 nt
Filed under: uncultured bacterium
Lineage: Bacteria
Description: partial 16S ribosomal RNA
Rfam family: Bacterial small subunit ribosomal RNA
Source: RNAcentral
CAUGCCGUAAACGAUGAAUGCUAGGUGUUGGAGGGUUUCCGCCCUUCAGUGCCGCAGCUAACGCAUUAAGCAUUCCGCCUGGGGAGUACGACCGCAAGGUUGAAACUCAAAGGAAUUGACGGGGGCCCGCACAAGCGGUGGAGCAUGUGGUUUAAUUCGAAGCAACGCGAAGAACCUUACCAGGCCUUGACAUCCAAUGAACUUUCUAGAGAUAGAUUGGUGCCUUCGGGAACAUUGAGACAGGUGC